UACGGAGGGUGCAAGCGUUGCUCGGAAUUAUUGGGCGUAAAGGGUAGGUAGGUGGUCUCAUUUGUCUGGGGUGAAAUCCUUGAGCUUAACUCAAGAAGUGCCUCAGAAACGGUGAGACUAGAGUUCUGGAGAGGGUCGUGGAAUUCCCGGUGUAGCGGUGAAAUGCGUAGAGAUCGGGAGGAACACCAGAGGCGAAGGCGGCGACCUGGACAGAUACUGACACUAAACUACGAAAGCGUGGGGAGCAAACAGG
This 253-nucleotide ribosomal RNA is filed under the name uncultured bacterium. RNAcentral's name for it is "partial 16S ribosomal RNA". It matches the Rfam family "Bacterial small subunit ribosomal RNA", at positions 524 to 776 of the family's 1533-position model. The record is from RNAcentral. RNAcentral also lists the same sequence under 1 other name.